AGAGUUUGAUCAUGGCUCAGAUUGAACGCUGGCGGCAGGCUUAACACAUGCAAGUCGAGCGGAAACGAUGAUAGCUUGCUAUCAGGCGUCGAGCGGCGGACGGGUGAGUAAUACUUAGGAAUCUACCUAGUAGUGGGGGAUAGCUCGGGGAAACUCGAAUUAAUACCGCAUACGACCUACGGGAGAAAGGGGGCAACUUGUUGCUCUCGCUAUUAGAUGAGCCUAAGUCGGAUUAGCUAGAUGGUGGGGUAAAGGCCUACCAUGGCGACGAUCUGUAGCUGGUCUGAGAGGAUGAUCAGCCACACCGGGACUGAGACACGGCCCGGACUCCUACGGGAGGCAGCAGUGGGGAAUAUUGGACAAUGGGGGCAACCCUGAUCCAGCCAUGCCGCGUGUGUGAAGAAGGCCUUUUGGUUGUAAAGCACUUUAAGCAGUGAAGAAGACUCCAUGGUUAAUACCCAUGGACGAUGACAUUAGCUGCAGAAUAAGCACCGGCUAACUCUGUGCCAGCAGCCGCGGCAAUACAGAGGGUGCAAGCGUUAAUCGGAAUUACUGGGCGUAAAGCGAGCGUAGGUGGCUUGAUAAGUCAGAUGUGAAAUCCCCGGGCUUAACCUGGGAACUGCAUCUGAUACUGUUAGGCUAGAAUAGGUGAGAGGAAGGUAGAAUUCCAGGUGUAGCGGUGAAAUGCGUAGAGAUCUGGAGGAAUACCGAUGGCGAAGGCAGCCUUCUGGCAUCAUAUUGACACUGAGGUUCGAAAGCGUGGGUAGCAAACAGGAUUAGAUACCCUGGUAGUCCACGCCGUAAACGAUGUCUACUAGUCGUUGGGUCCCUUGAGGACUUAGUGACGCAGCUAACGCAAUAAGUAGACCGCCUGGGGAGUACGGCCGCAAGGUUAAAACUCAAAUGAAUUGACGGGGGCCCGCACAAGCGGUGGAGCAUGUGGUUUAAUUCGAUGCAACGCGAAGAACCUUACCUGGUCUUGACAUAUCUAGAAUCCUGCAGAGAUGCGGGAGUGCCUUCGGGAAUUAGAAUACAGGUGCUGCAUGGCUGUCGUCAGCUCGUGUCGUGAGAUGUUGGGUUAAGUCCCGCAACGAGCGCAACCCUUGUCUUUAGUUACAGCGGG
Molecule: ribosomal RNA, 1123 nt
Filed under: uncultured bacterium
Lineage: Bacteria
Description: bacterial SSU rRNA
Rfam family: Bacterial small subunit ribosomal RNA
Source: RNAcentral